AGUAUCAACUAUGGAUAAAAAUUACAAGUAGUUGUUAUAUAAGGUCAAAUUUAUGAUCUUACGAGUUCUGAGGGAGUCUUUGUAGCAGAUAUAUGGUAUUUAAUACUCAUUCAGAAAGAUAAAUUGAUGUUGAAUAAGUUGAUUGAGAUCAAAGAACUGGCCAAACGUUUAUAUUUGUUGGUUUAACCAAAUGGACGAGACGACUUGGUCAAUAACUUAAAUAGAUCGAUAGAUGCCACUAGGACUUGGCAUUCGGGUACCCAUU
This 265-nucleotide long non-coding RNA is filed under the name Brassica napus (rape). RNAcentral's name for it is "long non-coding RNA (BNAP_LNC019000)". The record is from RNAcentral. Lineage: Eukaryota; Viridiplantae; Streptophyta; Magnoliopsida; Brassicales; Brassicaceae.